UCUGCCUCCCGGGUUCAAGUGAUUCUACUGCCUCAGCCUCUUGAAUAGCUGGGAUUAUAGGCACCCGCCACUGCGCCCAGCUGAUUUUUGUAUUUUUAGUAGGGAUGGGGUUUCACCAUGUUGGCAAGGCUGGUCUUGAACUCCUGACCUCAGGUGAUCCUCCUGCCUCGGCCUCCCAAAGAGCUAAGAUUACUGGCGUGAGUGACUGCAGCCAGCCAAUUUUUGUAUUUUUUGUAGAGACUGGGUUUCACUAUAUUGCCGAGACUGGUCUCAAACUCCUGGAGUCAAGUGAUCCUCCCUGCUUGGCCUCCCAAGGUGCUGGAAUUACAGGUUCUUGUCUGUCGCCCAGGCUAGAGUGCAGUGGCACCAUCAGAGGCUCACUGCAGCCUUGACAUCCUGGGCUCAGGUGAUCCUCUCACCUCAGCCUACCGAGCAGCCGGGACUACAGAUGCAUGCUACCACGCCCAGCUAAUAUUUGUAGAGACAGGGUUUUGCCAUGUUGCUCAGCGUGGUCUUGAACUCCUGGACUCAAGUGAUCUGCCCACCUCAGCCUCUCAAAGUGCUGAGAUUACAGGCAUGAGCCACCUUGCUUACCCUUGUUAACUGGUUAUUCCUAUUCACUUAAUAUCUUCUGCCUAUUUUUUGACUGAGUGCUUGAUCUUUUAUGACUUCUAUUUAUUAAAGAAACUAGUUCUUUGUGUUUUUUUUCCCUCUAGUUUGUCAUUUGGGUUUUGAUUUUGUUUAUGCCUUGCACUUGUAGAAAGUCAUUUUGGUGUAUUUGAAUUAUUAAAUGUUUUUCUUUAUGCCUUCUGGGUAUGACGUUAAACUCUGAAAAGUCUUCUCCAAAACUUAAAGUUUCUUCCACGGUUUCUUUAGGUAUUUUUAUAGUUU
This 891-nucleotide long non-coding RNA is filed under the name Homo sapiens (human). Its description in RNAcentral is "HSALNT0308145". The record is from RNAcentral. Lineage: Eukaryota; Metazoa; Chordata; Mammalia; Primates; Hominidae.